CGGUGUUUAACUGGCGUGAUGUGGGACGUCCUACCGGUGGGCUUAGCCUCGCGAGGGGCGGCCCAACUAAUAUCCCGUCGCGGUGCUCUUUACUGAGUGUCGAGUCGGGCCGGUACGUUUACUUUGAACAAAUUAGAGUGCUUAAAGCAGGCUAUCCUCCCCUGAAUACUGCGUGCAUGGAAUAAUGGAAUAGGACCUCGGUUCUAUUUUGUUGGUUUUCGGAACCCCGAGGUAAUGAUUAAUAGGGACAGAUGGGGGCAUUCGUAUUGCGACGUUAGAGGUGAAAUUCUUGGAUCGUCGCAAGACGGACAGAAGCGAAAGCAUUUGCCAAAAAUGUUUUCAUUAAUCAAGAACGAAAGUUAGAGGUUCGAAGGCGAUCAGAUACCGCCCUAGUUUUAACCAUAAACGAUGCCAGCUAGCGAUCCGCCGAAGUUCCUCCGAUGACUCGGCGGGCAGCUUCCGGGAAACCAAAGCUUUUGGGUUCCGGGGGAAGUAUGGUUGCAAAGCUGAAACUUAAAGGAAUUGACGAGAGGGGCACCACCCAGGAGUGGAGCCUGCGGCUUAAUUUGACUCAACACGGGAAACCUCACCAGGCCCCAGACACCGGAAGGAUUGACAGAUUGAUAGCUCUUUCUUGAUUCGGUGGGUGGUGGUGCAUGGCCGUUUUUAGUUGGUGGAGCGAUUUGUCUGGUUAAUUCUGAUAACGAACGAGACUCUAGCCUGCUAAAUAGGCGUACCUUAUGGUAUCGCGAAGGCCCCCGGCUUCGGCCGGUGGGUUUUUAUUACCAACGUACAAACAAAUCUUUUUAGAGGGACAGGCGG
Molecule: ribosomal RNA, 822 nt
Filed under: uncultured eukaryote
Lineage: Eukaryota
Description: SSU rRNA
Rfam family: Eukaryotic small subunit ribosomal RNA
Source: RNAcentral